GGGCGGGCAGCCCCCCCGCCAUAAA
This 25-nucleotide ribosomal RNA is filed under the name Escherichia coli 88.1042. Lineage: Bacteria; Pseudomonadati; Pseudomonadota; Gammaproteobacteria; Enterobacterales; Enterobacteriaceae. The record is from RNAcentral.